UAAAACCGGAUGCUCUCUUCUUCUCGCUCUCUUUCUCUCUGCAGCGCGUGUCUGGUUGAGCUUUCUCAGACACAGAAGACAGAGCCGCUCAAUUAAAGUAUGCUCGUAAUGAAUUACACGCCAGGAUCGCAUCGCAGCGCUUUCAGACCACCAUGAUAACUGAAGGAUUCAACACGACGUGGUCCCGAUUAUCUACUGACUGACUGAUUGUGUGAUAAUUGUGCUCAGUUCAUGGAAAUGGUGAACGAAUGGAUCGAAACGUGGAUACAGCACUGAUCAGAAGGAGCUGAAAGCGCCAUGAGUGUCCUGAUUCGCUUGGCUCUGGAGCUAUCCGCUCCAUGGUGACCGAAUGCUGGAGAUUGAUGUCAGACCAUGAAAUGUCUCUUAAAAACUUUUAUUAUCAAAUAAAGCGUAUAUCAAAACGGUC
Long non-coding RNA from Carassius gibelio (silver crucian carp), 427 nucleotides. RefSeq lists it as uncharacterized. The record is from RefSeq and is a predicted model, not a curated record. The transcript is spliced from 5 exons. Lineage: Eukaryota; Metazoa; Chordata; Actinopteri; Cypriniformes; Cyprinidae.